AUGUGGCUUCAGGGGCUCCUGUCCUGGGCCAGGGCCUGAUGGGCACCACGUGAGGGGUACUUGGUGGACAGGGUGGGGCUGACGUGGCCUCCUCUGGGGUUGCCUGCUUUUGACCCAAAGGUCCUGACGGUGGCGUCUGGGGAAGGGGAAGGAAGGGCCGCUGUCGCCAAGGUUUUCUCUCCCAGAACCCACAGUGGGAAAGCGGUCUUGCCAGGCGUUGUCCAUCGUCAGUGUGCUCGUGGGCUGGUGGCUGGGUCCUGGGAUCCCAGGCCACGUGCCAGCCAGGCUGUGGGCGCGGCAGGGCCAGGGACGCCAAAGAGAGGUUGCGGUCAGAACCAUGGACGGGAUGGGAUGAGGUCUCUCUGCCACCAUUCUUCCUGGUCAGCAGAAGUGCAUCUCGGCAGGCUUGGGUUUGGGGUGGGGGUGUGUGGUCGCAUCCCCUGCUUGCCACUGUGCGCACCAAGGUUUCCCAGCACCCUUAGGAAGGCCCGGGCAGGACCUGGAAGCACCGGACCCGGGCUGUUCUCCUGUGUUGAAGGAGUGUGCCCAGUGCCCUUGGGCAGGACCUGUGAGAGCCACCUCACAAGCAGAGCCCCCACCAGGCAGGGCAAGGAGACUCCUCUCACACCCCAUGGCCAGCGUGGGCACAGGACUGACCCUUCUUCAGAGAUAAUGACAUUUUAUCUUUUCCUUUUGAUGAAAACUGUCACUUUAGCAUGUAAUCUAUUACAGAAUCCCAUGCAGUGAUUCUAGGAUUUGAAAUUGUAUGAUGUGUUACAUAAGAAUUUGCUAUCGACAUUCCCGUAUGAAGAAGAGAGAGACAUAUCACGCUGCUGUCAUGAUUUUGUGUCAAGAUGAUCCAAUAAAGUUGUAAAACAGG
Molecule: RNA transcript, 880 nt
Organism: Nomascus leucogenys (northern white-cheeked gibbon)
Lineage: Eukaryota; Metazoa; Chordata; Mammalia; Primates; Hylobatidae
Exons: 1
Source: RefSeq, a predicted model, not a curated record